GUUUAACCACUUGUAAAUGUGCUGAUGUGGCCUCCAUAAAGGCCUUUUGUAUUAAAAAAAAUUUAACGUAUCAAUGUGUUCUCCAGAUUCGAGGAAAAUGUGUAAACCUAACUGCUCCCAUGAAAUGCCAUCACAAUAAUCAGCUCCCUUCCCAUAAAUAGAUAAAUGAAACAAAACAUUUAGAUCUCAAAAGGGGCACCCAACAAAUUCCUACUGGGCUGAGCACCCCACCUGUCCACUAUAGAUGCUCCUUUCGAGGUGACCAGUGUAAAGCAUAAAUUGAGGAGAGUCUUAAAAUUAGUUUAGGACCCACUGAUAUUGGAAUACUGUGACCUUGAGGUGGGAUGAACAUGAUAUGGCCACAUAUUGUAACUAAAUCCCCAAAUUUGUUUGAUUUUGAGUGGUAUAGUGGUG
This is a non-coding RNA of Pelobates cultripes (western spadefoot toad), 414 nucleotides long. NCBI's taxonomy places the organism in Eukaryota, Metazoa, Chordata, Amphibia, Anura, Pelobatidae. The record is from the annotation of a GenBank genome assembly.